UACGUAGGGUGCGAGCGUUGUCCGGAAUUAUUGGGCGUAAGGAGCUCGUAGGCGGUCUGUCGCGUCGAUCGUGAAAACUUGGGGCUUAACCCUGAGCUUGCGGUCGAUACGGGCAUGACUGGAGUUCGGCAGGGGAGACUGGAAUUCCUGGUGUAGCGGUGAAAUGCGCAGAUAUCAGGAGGAACACCGGUGGCGAAGGCGGGUCUCUGGGCCGAUACUGACGCUGAGGAGCGAAAGCGUGGGGAGCAAACAGG
RNAcentral lists this ribosomal RNA (254 nucleotides) under uncultured bacterium. Its description in RNAcentral is "partial 16S ribosomal RNA". It matches the Rfam family "Bacterial small subunit ribosomal RNA", at positions 524 to 776 of the family's 1533-position model. The record is from RNAcentral.